Molecule: ribosomal RNA, 486 nt
Filed under: Bacillus amyloliquefaciens
Lineage: Bacteria; Bacillati; Bacillota; Bacilli; Caryophanales; Bacillaceae
Description: bacterial SSU rRNA
Rfam family: Bacterial small subunit ribosomal RNA
Source: RNAcentral
CGCCGCGUGAGUGAUGAAGGUUUUCGGAUCGUAAAGCUCUGUUGUUAGGGAAGAACAAGUGCCGUUCAAAUAGGGCGGCACCUUGACGGUACCUAACCAGAAAGCCACGGCUAACUACGUGCCAGCAGCCGCGGUAAUACGUAGGUGGCAAGCGUUGUCCGGAAUUAUUGGGCGUAAAGGGCUCGCAGGCGGUUUCUUAAGUCUGAUGUGAAAGCCCCCGGCUCAACCGGGGAGGGUCAUUGGAAACUGGGGAACUUGAGUGCAGAAGAGGAGAGUGGAAUUCCACGUGUAGCGGUGAAAUGCGUAGAGAUGUGGAGGAACACCAGUGGCGAAGGCGACUCUCUGGUCUGUAACUGACGCUGAGGAGCGAAAGCGUGGGGAGCGAACAGGAUUAGAUACCCUGGUAGUCCACGCCGUAAACGAUGAGUGCUAAGUGUUAGGGGGUUUCCGCCCCUUAGUGCUGCAGCUAACGCAUUAAGCACUCCG